CAAUAGCAUAUAUUAACGUUGUUGCAGUUGAAAAGCUCGUAGUUGAACUUUUGGUAGGAGCGACCUGGCCUUGGGCGCAUGCCCUUGUUUGCCGUGUGUCGUGUCUGGCCAUCCUUUUCUUCUUUUUGGAAGGAAUCUUUUACUGUGAGUAAACUGGAGUGCUCAAAACAAGACGUUUGUUUGGUACAUUAAAGCAUGGAAUAAUAAGAUAGGACCUGGUUACUAUUUUGUUGGUUUGCAUAGCUAGGUAAUGAUUAACAGGGACAGUUGGGGGUAUUCGUAUUUAAUUGUCAGAGGUGAAAUUCUUGGAUUUAUGAAAGACGAACGACUGCGAAAGCAUUUACCAAGGAUGUUUNCAUUAA
This 362-nucleotide ribosomal RNA is filed under the name uncultured eukaryote. Its description in RNAcentral is "partial 18S ribosomal RNA". It matches the Rfam family "Eukaryotic small subunit ribosomal RNA", at positions 592 to 976 of the family's 1831-position model. The record is from RNAcentral.